CCUACGGGUGGCAGCAGUGGGGGAUAUUGCACAAUGGGGGAAACCCUGAUGCAGCGACGCCGCGUGAGUGAUGAAGUAUUUCGGUAUGUAAAGCUCUAUCAGCAGGGAAGAAAAUGACAGUACCUGACCAUGAAGCCCCUGCUAACUACGUGCCAGCAGCCGCGGUAAUACGUAGGGGGCAAGCGUUAUCCGGAUUUACUGGGUGUAAAGGGAGCGUAGACGGUUAUGUAAGUCUGGAGUGAAAGCCCGGGGCGCAACCCCGGGACUGCAUUGGAAACUGUGAAACUUGAGUACAGGAGAGGCAGGCGGAAUUCCUGGUGUAGCGGUGAAAUGCGUAGAGAUCAGGAGGAACACCGGCGGCGAAGGCGGCUUUCUGGACUGAAACUGACGUUGAGGCUCGAAAGCGUGGGGAGCAAACAGGAUUAGAUACCCUUGUAGUC
Molecule: ribosomal RNA, 440 nt
Filed under: uncultured bacterium
Lineage: Bacteria
Description: partial 16S ribosomal RNA
Rfam family: Bacterial small subunit ribosomal RNA
Source: RNAcentral